CAAACGACUCUCGGCAACGGAUAUCUCGGCUCUUGCAUCGAUGAAGAACGUAGCGAAAUGCGAUACUUGGUGUGAAUUGCAGAAUCCCGUGAACCAUCGAGUUUUUGAACGCAAGUUGCGCCCGAUGCCGCUAGNNUGAGGGCACGUCUGCCUGGGCGUCACGC
Molecule: ribosomal RNA, 164 nt
Filed under: Nigella damascena (love-in-a-mist)
Lineage: Eukaryota; Viridiplantae; Streptophyta; Magnoliopsida; Ranunculales; Ranunculaceae
Description: 5.8S ribosomal RNA
Rfam family: 5.8S ribosomal RNA
About the family: 5.8S ribosomal RNA (5.8S rRNA) is a component of the large subunit of the eukaryotic ribosome.
Source: RNAcentral